This 492-nucleotide ribosomal RNA is filed under the name uncultured bacterium. RNAcentral describes it as "partial 16S ribosomal RNA". It matches the Rfam family "Bacterial small subunit ribosomal RNA", at positions 29 to 507 of the family's 1533-position model. The record is from RNAcentral.
AGUGAACGCUGGCGGUAGGCCUAACACAUGCAAGUCGAACGGCAGCACAGUAAGAGCUUGCUCUUACGGGUGGCGAGUGGCGGACGGGUGAGGAAUACAUCGGAAUCUACUUUUUCGUGGGGGAUAACGUAGGGAAACUUACGCUAAUACCGCAUACGACCUACGGGUGAAAGCAGGGGACCUUCGGACCUUGCGCGAUUGAUUGAGCCGAUGUCGGAUUAGCUAGUUGGCGGGGUAAAGGCCCACCAAGGCGACGAUCCGUAGCUGGUCUGAGAGGAUGAUCAGCCACACUGGAACUGAGACACGGUCCAGACUCCUACGGGAGGCAGCAGUGGGGAAUAUUGGACAAUGGGCGCAAGCCUGAUCCAGCCAUACCGCGUGGGUGAAGAAGGCCUUCGGGUUGUAAAGCCCUUUUGUUGGGAAAGAAAAGCAGCAGGUUAAUACCCCGCUGUUCUGACGGUACCCAAAGAAUAAGCACCGGCUAACUUCGUG